RNAcentral lists this unclassified non-coding RNA (343 nucleotides) under soil metagenome. RNAcentral's name for it is "partial contains 5.8S ribosomal RNA, internal transcribed spacer 2, and large subunit ribosomal RNA". The stretch from base 1 to 120 matches the Rfam family "5.8S ribosomal RNA", at positions 35 to 154 of the family's 154-position model. The record is from RNAcentral.
GAUGAAGAACGCAGCGAAAUGCGAUAAGUAAUGUGAAUUGCAGAAUUCAGUGAAUCAUCGAAUCUUUGAACGCACAUUGCGCCCGCUAGUAUUCUGGCGGGCAUGCCUGUCCGAGCGUCAUUUCAACCCUCAAGCCCCCGGGCUUGGUGUUGGGGAUCGGCGAGCCUCCGCGCCCGCCGUCCCCUAAAUCUAGUGGCGGUCUCGCUGUAGCUUCCUCUGCGUAGUAGCACACCUCGCACUGGGAAACAGCGCGGCCACGCCGUUAAACCCCCAACUUCUGAACGUUUGACCUCGGAUCAGGUAGGAAUACCCGCUGAACGUAAGCAUAUCAAUAAGCGGAGGA